UCAAACUUGGUCAUUUAGAGGAAGUAAAAGUCGUAACAAGGUUUCCGUAGGUGAACCUGCGGAAGGAUCAUUACAAAGUAUCGGCCGGUCAGCGCCGGCAUGGCCGCUGCAGGCACCGGCGGGGCUCACCCGCCGGUGCUGACAGUUGACCCUUUGUGUAAACCCCUUGUGGUAGCUUUGGUGCUGAACACCUCCCGUGUUUAGGGCCUACCAGCUGUAGCUUUGAAAACCCUUUUUUUUUUUGUGAAAGGAAGUAUUGAUCAAUGUCUGAAGGCGCAGUCGAAUGACAUGCAAAAACUUUCAACAACGGAUCUCUUGGUUCCCGCAUCGAUGAAGAACGCAGC
Molecule: unclassified non-coding RNA, 344 nt
Filed under: uncultured fungus
Lineage: Eukaryota; Fungi
Description: partial contains small subunit ribosomal RNA, internal transcribed spacer 1, and 5.8S ribosomal RNA
Rfam family: Eukaryotic small subunit ribosomal RNA (bases 1-73)
Source: RNAcentral